Molecule: long non-coding RNA, 824 nt
Filed under: Salmo salar (Atlantic salmon)
Lineage: Eukaryota; Metazoa; Chordata; Actinopteri; Salmoniformes; Salmonidae
Description: lncRNA (ENSSSAG00000088350.1)
Source: RNAcentral
CCAACAUUUUGAAAGAAUACAACUGCAGGUGAGUGAGUCCACGUGAUCAUUGUGUGGUACAGUAACACUCUCUUAUUAAGCUUAAAAACAUGAAACAAUAUCAUAGUCAUUGUCAAUGGGCAAAACUGUGUUCAACCAUUUAAAAUAUUAUUGCAUCUCUGACAAGUGAUUGUUGCAGUCAAAUUCCACUUGACUGUAGAUUCACGGUAACUGGACUUCUCCAAAACUGCCCUCUGAUGCCGCUGAUGGUCAUUAGUAGCCUACCAAACUUACUAACGGACAGUUGCUAAUGGUGUGUUCCCUCUAAUCACUCUGACAGAACCCUGGCAUUCAGAGUUUGAGUGGAAUAGGAUCACCUGUUGCGCAGUGAGAGCCAGCUCCUCAUAACUGGUUGAUGCAGCAUCAACUCAUAACUGGUUGAUACAUGGAAUAAAACAUGUGUUCCUAUAAGCCCAUGUUGCACAACAUUUUUCUAUAGGCUAUGCUAUGUAUUUGCAUGAGAAAACAGUUUUGAUGGCCUAUAUUAAAAAGAGGAGGAUCCCAUCAGCUUUCUACAGGCUAGGCCUACUAUAUUUAUUUCUCAACUUUGCUCAUAUUAAGCACAUUGCUUCGCUUUACAACCGGAGUAACCUACCUGGCUGGGCUGAAAAUGAACCGCUGGAAAGGUGUCCUCCAUUUGCUAUUCAAGUGCAUAGUCUUUUUUCCCCCUGCCCCUGUUCCGACAGAGGCAAGAUAAUGGCCUAUUCUAAAUUAAAACUAAUUUAACACAUAUAUUAUUUAGUAUAUGUAAAGACAAGAUUAAAUUGAGAAUAGUCUGAUGGGUG